RNAcentral lists this ribosomal RNA (555 nucleotides) under uncultured bacterium. Its description in RNAcentral is "partial 16S ribosomal RNA". It matches the Rfam family "Bacterial small subunit ribosomal RNA", at positions 355 to 902 of the family's 1533-position model. The record is from RNAcentral.
UGGGGAAUUUUGGACAAUGGGCGAAAGCCUGAUCCAGCAAUGCCGCGUGUGUGAAGAAGGCCUUCGGGUUGUAAAGCACUUUUGUCCGGAAAGAAAUGGCUCUGGUUAAUACCUGGGGUCGAUGACGGUACCGGAAGAAUAAGGACCGACUAACUACGUGCCAGCAGCCGCGGUAAUACGUAGGGUCCAAGCGUUAAUCGGAAUUACUGGGCGUAAAGCGUGCGCAGGCGGUUGUGCAAGACCGAUGUGAAAUCCCCGAGCUUAACUUGGGAAUUGCAUUGGUGACUGCACGGCUAGAGUGUGUCAGAGGGGGGUAGAAUUCCACGUGUAGCAGUGAAAUGCGUAGAGAUGUGGAGGAAUACCGAUGGCGAAGGCAGCCCCCUGGGAUAACACUGACGCUCAUGCACGAAAGCGUGGGGAGCAAACAGGAUUAGAUACCCUGGUAGUCCACGCCCUAAACGAUGUCAACUAGUUGUUGGGGAUUCAUUUCCUUAGUAACGUAGCUAACGCGUGAAGUUGACCGCCUGGGGAGUACGGUCGCAAGAUUAAAAGCUC